UUAAAUAGUUCUUAUAAGAGUGCUUAUGUUGAUCAUAAGCUAAAAGGGAAAUCGGUGUAAAUCCGAUGCAGCCCCGCUACUGUAAGUGUGGAUGAAAUUGUUGCAAACCACUGGUGCAUGUAUAAUGCGCUGGGAAGGAACAAGAGUAAAUAGAUACACAAGCCAGGAGACCUGCUUUUAUAAUGUAGUUUCA
This 193-nucleotide non-coding RNA is filed under the name Viridibacillus arenosi. Lineage: Bacteria; Bacillati; Bacillota; Bacilli; Caryophanales; Caryophanaceae. The record is from RNAcentral. RNAcentral also lists the same sequence under 1 other name.